Long non-coding RNA from Lemur catta (Ring-tailed lemur), 479 nucleotides. RefSeq lists it as uncharacterized. NCBI's taxonomy places the organism in Eukaryota, Metazoa, Chordata, Mammalia, Primates, Lemuridae. The transcript is spliced from 3 exons. The record is from RefSeq and is a predicted model, not a curated record.
GCGGCGGCAGCACUGAGGAGAGGCCCGCCCGGUCCCUGCGCCGGCGCGCUGCUACUCUGGCAGUGCCUUGUCCCCGCAGUCUUCCGCUCGCCGCCGGGCCGAUGCGGGUCGUCGAGCUGAGAGGAGCGACAUAGCCGCCGCCCGCGCUGCAGCCGCCGGGCCCGGUCCGGCUCCGCCCCACGCGCCAGCCCGCCCGGCCAUGGCUGACCGCGGGGGCCCGCUGGAGGCGGCGUCGCUGCCCGCCGAGGUGCGGGAGGGCCUGGCCGAGCUGGAGCUAGAGCUGUCGGAAGAUGACCAAUGUACCAUGUUACAAAAUCUUGGUGAAUGGGUAAAGGAUUCAUUCAGAAGAUAGACCAAUGGAUUUUAAUGUAAUGGUCUUGAAGGGAACACUUCAAGAGGAAGUUUUGAUCUGUUCAUCUUUCUGUCCCUAACACCCUGCACAUUUUAGGCAUUUUAAUAAAUGUUUAUUGAAUUAAUAA